CUGACCGUGGUCAGUGAAGAUGCUCAGCAGCAGUGUCUAAAUGCAGGGCACCUCCAGCCCAUCUCCAGUGCCAUCAUACUUGAUGGAAGUAUCAUAAUGGACAAUGUUAGAGACUUUCCCCAUGCAGUGUGCCUCAUGUUUGGGCUUAUCCUCCUGAGUCCCAGCAAUACAUUUUUGUCCUCUGUGGAGGACAUAGGUUUUUUGUUCAUAACUCUGAAACCAUAUAUGCCACUGUGUUAAAUCCUGUUGGUCCUUAGAGAGGACAUCCUGGGCUCUCCAAUGAUAUGACAUGUGUGGGGGUGGGGCUUUUUUAGAAUUUUCUUCCUGAUUCUUCAAAAUGGCUGCCAUCCCUGUGAGCACAUUUUGUCGAAAGAAGAAAGAUUCCUGCCUGUGCUGGAAGACUGGAAGAGGUUGUCUGUGUGGACUGGCCACCAUCAAAAUACUUUGAGCAGUACAUUGACAACAAAGUUUUUGAGGACAUGUCCUUUUGCACAAACCAGAGACAGAUUCAGGUGUCAGGCUCAAGUCUGAAUACAACACCUAAGGAGAUUAAGACCUUCUUUGGAGUCUCGGUGUACAUGGCAUGCCUUGGUUACCCAACAAUCAAAAUGUAUUGGGCCAAAAAAACAAGAGUGCCAAAAGUUGCCAAUAGUCCAUGACAAGGGAUCGCUUUUUCAAGAUCAGAUGUUCUCUGAAAAUCACUAAUGAUCUUGAUGUAACUGAAGAGGAGAGGAAGCUAAAUAUGCUUUGGAGAGUCAGUCCACUUCUGAAGAAGGUGCAACAAGGCUGCCUAAACCUACCCAGGCCAGGAAAUGUUUCCAUUGAUGAACAAAUGAUUCCCUUUACUGGUCGAUGUCCAGUCCGUCAGUUCGUUCCUGGCAAGCCAAAUCCAACCGGAUUGAAGGUGUUUGUUCUCACUACUCCAACUGGAAUUGUAUUGGAUUUUGAAGUGUACCAAGGAAAAAAAAGACCUUUGUCGGCAGAGACUCAGGACUUGGAAUAGGAGCAAAUGCAGUUCUUCGGUUGACUGAGUCCAUUCCCAGGGGAACUCACCUGUACUUUGACAGGUACUUCACCUCACCUGAAAAAUAGACUCCCAAAGGAUUGUAACAUUACAUCUGAUAAAGAGUUGUUGAAACAAGGAAGAGGCUCCUUUGUGACAAGGAAGCAUCCUGAGCUGGCUGUGACAAAAUGGGUUGACAAUAAACCUGUACUCAUGGCAUCUACAGUGCAUGUAAUAGAGCCCCAGGAUACCCGGACCAGAUAGUCACUGAAAGACAAAAGGCAUGUUCAAGUGUCCAGACCUGCAGUGGUGGCAGAGUACAACACCAACAUGGGUGGGGUUGAUAUGUGUGAUAGAAUGCUUAGCUUUUAUAGAAUGGCUAACCGCACAAGGAAGUGGACCGUACGCACAAUCCUACACUUCUUCGAUCUGACCAUCACCAACUCCUAGUUACAGUAUAAGGAAGACCGCCAAGCUUUGGCACGACCUAUGAAGAAAACUCUCCAAUACCAUGACUUCAAACUGCUCUUAGGUGAGGAACUGAUUGCCCAGGGGCAGUCAGGCCAACCAAAUCAAAUUGAAUCUGAUGCGGAAGUGAGAUAAGGAAGUGAGAAAGUAUGGAGCUGUCCAUUUGCCACACAUGAUGGACAAUCCUAAUACUUCCAGGUGCAGAGGAGAAGGGUGCACUGGAAAAACCUACAUAAAGUGCAUCAAAUGCAACAUGUACCUCUGCAUCUCAAAGAAGAAGAACUGCUUUAUGGACUACCACAAACCAAAACAGAACUAACACACCUGAUUAAACUACACUAAUCAGCUUGCUUUUGAUAAGUUGAAUGAGGUGCCUGGAAAUCUGAACCACUGGCUUAAAUGAUGUAGCCGUUUGAAAUUUACAGCACUAAAGAUUGUCAGAGUUCAGAGGUAAAUGUAUGCCUCGAAAUGUGUUAAUAUUUGCCACAAGAGAGUCCCGAUGUCCUCUCCAAAGGACAUACUCUAAAAAAUACUCUUUGAGAUAUUUUCAAUUGUAGUGAUGUUUUUUUCACUCCAAAGAGUCAUGUAGUGUAAAAAAAAAAGAGAUUCAAAAACUUUUUUUUUCUCUUGGUCUCAGGAGAAGAAGCACUCGCCUCAGAGACAGUUGGGGUGCUGACUGUGGUCAGUGAAGAUGCUCAGCAGCAGUGUCUAAAUGCAGGGCACCUCCAGCCCAUCUCCAGUGCCAUCAUACUUGAGGGAAGUAUCAUCAUAGACAACGUUAGAGACUUUCCCCAUGCAGUGUGCCUCAUGUUUGGGCUUAUGUAUGCUCUUCACUUAGAAUACCCAAAAUGCAUGGCGAACACACUCAGAUUUAUUCAAGCAGUCAUGGUUGGAUUGGGAAGCAAAACACUCCCUCCAAAGCUGCUUAGUUUGAAAAACAAACUACUGGAGUAGGCAAGU
This is a long non-coding RNA of Cyprinodon tularosa, 2431 nucleotides long. RefSeq lists it as uncharacterized. NCBI's taxonomy places the organism in Eukaryota, Metazoa, Chordata, Actinopteri, Cyprinodontiformes, Cyprinodontidae. The transcript is spliced from 3 exons. The record is from RefSeq and is a predicted model, not a curated record.